RNAcentral lists this non-coding RNA (25 nucleotides) under Drosophila melanogaster (fruit fly). Lineage: Eukaryota; Metazoa; Arthropoda; Insecta; Diptera; Drosophilidae. The record is from RNAcentral.
CAAACCGACGAAGACCAUUACAAAA